GACGGAGGAUGCAAGCGUUAUCCGGAAUGAUUGGGCGUAAAGCGUCCGCAGGUGGCAAUUCAAGUCUGCUGUUAAAGCGCAGGGCUUAACUCUGUAAAGGCAGUGGAAACUGAAUAGCUAGAGUGUGGUAGGGGCAGAGGGAAUUCCCAGUGUAGCGGUGAAAUGCGUAGAGAUUGGGAAGAACAUCGGUGGCGAAGGCGCUCUGCUGGACCAUAACUGACACUCACAGGACGAAAGCUAGGGGAGCGAAUGGG
Molecule: ribosomal RNA, 254 nt
Filed under: uncultured bacterium
Lineage: Bacteria
Description: partial 16S ribosomal RNA
Rfam family: Bacterial small subunit ribosomal RNA
Source: RNAcentral